CGAUGUCCGGGUUCGGGAUUCACGGCCAGUCAUCGGUCGCGCUUCCUUAGAUGAAUUGGCUGCGCCGGAGCGAGCAGUGACCUUGUCAUGAAUGUCGAGGUGUGCUGUCUUUUGGUCCGAGCGCAAGAUCCUCCUCUCUGUUGGGUGGGAUCAGAACGCGCGGCCUAGCGUCGUUGCGACUUCUACACAUGACCUCACGGGGGUGGGACGACCCGCUAGACUUAAGCAUAUUAAUCAGCGGAGGAAAAGAAACUAACAAGGAUUCCCCUAGUAACUGCGAGUGAAGAGGGAUUAGCUCAAUGUGUGAAUCGGGUCGGGAUUAGCCCCCGUCUCGAGUUGUGCACUAUAGACGCCGGAUCAGCGUUUGAAGGAUCGAGGUGGAUGUCCGAUGAAACUCGGUGCCAUAGAGGGUCAUAGUCCUGUACUUGCCUUGUCAUCCUUUGCGCAUUUGACCGGUGUUCUGCGAGUCGCGUAGUUUUGUAUUGCUGCGCUAAGUGGGAGGUAGAGCCCUUCUAAAGCUAAAUAUGGCGACGUGACCGAUAGCACACAAGUACCGCGAGGGAAAGGUGAAAAGCAACCAUGCAGAAUGGGUUGAAACAGCAGUGAAAGCGCUACUGGGAUAAGGGCUGGGGAUUGCUUGUGUCGCUUGCGCGUGCUUUAGUGCUGUGCUUGUGAACGGCGUGCUAUCGUUCGGAUGGGGAGAACAGGGCCUCGGGAAUUCAGCUGGAUCCGUCCAGUGUUGCAGCCCGGGUGCCA
Molecule: ribosomal RNA, 756 nt
Filed under: uncultured Tulasnellaceae
Lineage: Eukaryota; Fungi; Basidiomycota; Agaricomycetes; Cantharellales; Tulasnellaceae
Description: eukaryotic LSU rRNA
Rfam family: Eukaryotic large subunit ribosomal RNA (bases 190-756)
Source: RNAcentral